CCUACGGGUGGCACCAGCGGGGAAUCUUGCGCAAUGGUCGAAAGACUGACGCAGCCAUGCCGCGUGAAUGAUGAAGGUCUUAGGAUUGUAAAAUUCUUUCAGCAGGGACGAUAAUGACGGUACCUGCAGAAGAAGCCCCGGCUAACUUCGUGCCAGCAGCCGCGGUAAUACGAAGGGGGCUAGCGUUGCUCGGAAUUACUGGGCGUAAAGGGAGCGUAGGCGGGUUAUCAAGUUGGAGGUGAAAGCCCAGGGCUCAACCUUGGAAUUGCCUUCAAAACUGAUAGCCUAGAGUAUGAUAGAGGUAAGUGGAACUCCGAGUGUAGAGGUGAAAUUCGUAGAUAUUCGGAAGAACACCAGUGGCGAAGGCGACUUACUGGAUCAUGACUGACGCUGAGGCUCGAAAGCGUGGGGAGCAAACAGGAUUAGAUACCCUAGUAGUC
Molecule: ribosomal RNA, 440 nt
Filed under: uncultured bacterium
Lineage: Bacteria
Description: bacterial SSU rRNA
Rfam family: Bacterial small subunit ribosomal RNA
Source: RNAcentral